This 432-nucleotide ribosomal RNA is filed under the name uncultured bacterium. RNAcentral describes it as "partial 16S ribosomal RNA". It matches the Rfam family "Bacterial small subunit ribosomal RNA", at positions 29 to 507 of the family's 1533-position model. The record is from RNAcentral.
AACGAACGCUGGCGGCAUGCCUAACACAUGCAAGUCGAACGAGACCUUCGGGUCUAGUGGCGCACGGGUGCGUAACGCGUGGGAACCUGCCCUUAGGUUCGGAAUAACUCCCCGAAAGGGGUGCUAAUACCGGAUAAUGUCUUCGGACCAAAGAUUUAUCGCCUUGGGGUGGGCCCGCGUUGGAUUAGCUAGUUGGUAGGGUAAAAGCCUACCAAGGCGCCGAUCCAUAGCUGGUAUUGGAGGAUGGUCAGCCACCCUGGGACUGGGACCCGGCCCGAACCCCUAGGGAAGGGAGAAGGGGGGACGGAGGAACGACGGGGGAAUGCUUAAGGCAGUCGGGCCGGGGAAGUGAGUAAGGAGGGAGGUUUGAAAGUGUUAGUUACCAGGCAGGUAAUGACCGUACCCGGGAAGAAAGCCACGGCUAAAUACGGG